GAGCUAUGAGGACGUGAGAGUGAUACCGUCGCCCCGUGACUGGAAGGAGAUGUAGGAUCGUCAGCCCUACCUUAGCUU
This 78-nucleotide non-coding RNA is filed under the name unclassified sequences. The record is from Rfam.